This is a long non-coding RNA of Mytilus trossulus (common blue mussel), 195 nucleotides long. RefSeq lists it as uncharacterized. The record is from RefSeq and is a predicted model, not a curated record. Lineage: Eukaryota; Metazoa; Mollusca; Bivalvia; Mytilida; Mytilidae. The transcript is spliced from 3 exons.
AGAUCUGGGAAAGUGCAAUACAUGUUCUGGUGUUUGAUGGAAAGAGUCACAUCCUGCUUGUAGAAUACAUUUGUACCUCAUUUAGGCUAUAAUGGCAAGUUGGAAUAAGAAACUUACUACAGCUGUUGGGAAGGGAGAUAUAGAAGCCUUAAAAUUAAGCCUACAGAAUGGUGCAGACAUUGAUUAUCAAGAUGU